GGAACGAAGAGAUGCUCCCCUGAUUUGGAGCUGUAGAAAGGAAGUGGUUGCAGACACAAAGUGGGGACACACAACUCCCAGUCAUAAUAUUCUUUAUCUUGGCUCGUUGUUUGGGGAUGGACGCAUCAAUCUGAUGGCGCUCUUCUCCAUGCCAAACGGAUCCUUGGUUCGGAGGCGCGCGGCGCCGACGAUGACAGCCUUUCUAUCGACGCAAGGGCAGCAGGAGCUCAUGACGCUGUUGAUGCCACCACCAUGCAUGGGGUUGAUGCAAGGUGGGACAAUGUGAUCACUAAUGGGGAGAACAUAAAACUUCAAUUGAGGGCACUGUGAUUCUCUAGCUACAUGUAUCAUGGUCACCAACCACACAUGUCCAAAAGAGAUCCUUAUUUCACCUUUGUUUAUAGGUAUUCAACGUGAGGAAUUUUAUACUUUUGGAGUGGAGCUAUCAAAUAUAUAUUAUGAGUUUCUAAAACAUCUAUUAUAAGGAAUUGAACAGAGCUUCCUCUGCCCCGACAGAUUCUGAGAAAACCAACCAGCAGAGAACAUGAACAAAUAUAGUGACGAGAAAGGGUGGAGCUGAGUACACCACACAUGGAUAUGAUGGUCUACCCUAUGUUCUUUUUGGCAAUCCACUUAAUCACUGACUCAACUUUGUAUGGGGCGCUUCCGAUGCACAAAUGGUGGCGGUGAAGCAGCAGGCCCGAGAGAGCGUGCAGGGGAGGAAGGAGUUCCUGGUGGAGGUGCUGAUACUGGCGGUGCUCAGCCACCCUAACUUCGUCAGCCUGAUCGGCUUCUGCGCGCAGGGGACAAGCGGCUGCUGUUGUACGAGUACAUGCCCUUCGGCAGCCUGGCGAGUCAUCUCUUUGCGGUUCCAUUAUAUAUAUUCACUUUGAAGGCAAAAAUUAUAUGUUGGCUGGUUGCCCGAGAAAUCAAAAAGGCUAAAUCUUGAGUUGUAUGGAGCAUGGUCAUUUGCUUGAAGUUUCCAAUGGACUGUAUAUACCAUUGAAUGAGAGGAAUUAUUCCAUGAGUGUGGACAAAUUGAGCUGAUCGAUUGAUUGAGAAAAUAUUGUGUGGAUGUUCUCAGAUCUCCUUGCUCCACUACUCCUUGGAUUAUUACCUUUGUCCAUAUAUUUUGGUUUAUCUGAG
Aegilops tauschii subsp. strangulata is the source of this 1146-nucleotide non-coding RNA. Lineage: Eukaryota; Viridiplantae; Streptophyta; Magnoliopsida; Poales; Poaceae. The record is from RefSeq and is a predicted model, not a curated record.